Molecule: ribosomal RNA, 254 nt
Filed under: uncultured bacterium
Lineage: Bacteria
Description: partial 16S ribosomal RNA
Rfam family: Bacterial small subunit ribosomal RNA
Source: RNAcentral
UACGUAGGGGGCGAGCGUUGUCCGGAUUUAUUGGGCGUAAAGAGCUCGUAGGCGGCUCAUCAAGUCGGCUGUGAAAGCCCGGGGCUCAACCCCGGGAUUGCAGUCGAUACUGUUGUGGCUAGGGUCCGGUAGAGGAGAACGGAAUUCCCGGUGUAGCGGUGGAAUGCGCAGAUAUCGGGAGGAACACCAGUAGCGAAGGCGGUUCUCUGGGCCGGUACCGACGCUGAGGAGCGAAAGCGUGGGGAGCAAACAGG